ACAGGCAUGUGCCACUACGCCUGGCUAAUUUUUUCAUUUUUAUUUUUUGUAGAGAUGGGGUCUUGCUGUGUUGCCCAGGUUGGUCUUGAACUCUUGGCCUCAAGCAAUCCUCCUCCAGAGCCUCCCAAAGUGUUGGGAUUACAGGCAUGAGCCACUGUGCCUGGCCAGAAAUUGUUUUGAAAGGCUAACCAGUAAAACAUUAACCAAUUUACAAGAGAAAAACAGCCCCAUCAAAAAGUGGGCAAAAGAUACGAACAGACACUUCUCAAAAGAAGACAUUUAUGCGGCCAAAAAACAUAUGAAAAAAAUCUCAUCAUCACUGGUCAUUAGAGAAAUGCAAAUCAAAACCACAAUGAGAUACCAUCUCAUGCCAGUUAGAAUGGCAAUCAUUAAAAAGUCAGGAAACAACACAUGCUGGCGAGGCUGUGGAGAAAUAGGAACGCUUUUACACUGUUGGUGGGAGUGUAAAUUAGUGCAGCCAUUGUGGAAGACAGUGUGGCGAUUCCUCAAGGAUCUAGAAUCAGAAAUACCAUUUGACCUAGCAAUCCCAUUACUGUGUAUAUACCCAAAGGAUUAUACAUCAUUCUGCUAUAAAGACACAUGCACAUGUAUGUUUAUUGCAGCACUAUUCACAAUAGCAAAGACUUGGAACUGACCCAAAUGCUCAUCAGUGAUAGACUGGAUAAAGAAAAUGUGGCACAUAUACACCAUGGAAUACUAUAAAUAUAUAAAAAAAGAUGAGUUCAUGUCCUUUGCAGGGACAUGGAUGAAGCUGGAAACCAUUGUUAUCAGCAAACUAACACAGGAACAGAAAACCAAACACCACAUAUUCUCACUUAUAAGUGGGAAUUGAACAAUGAGAACACAUGGACACAGGGAGGGGAACAUCACACAACGGGGCCUGUUGAGGGGUAGGGGGCUAGAGGAGGGAUAGCAUUAGCAGAAAUACCUAAUGUAGAUGACAGGUCGAUGGAUGCAGCAAACCACCAUGGCACGUGUAUACCUAUGUAACCUGCACGUUCUGCACAUGUAUCCCAGAACUUAAAGUAUAAUUUUAAAAAAAGGGAAAAAAAGUAAAAAAAAAAAAUAAACAAAUCAGCAAACUACACAGAAGAAUAUUAGAACAAUUUCUCUCAAAUUUCUCUUCCAUUGAGCUUCCUGCCUGACCCUAGAGCUCCCUCACCUCUUUGGCUUACCAGCUCCCAUCCUUCAAAGUUUCUGAGUUAUUCUGUGGGGAAUUUGAGCUACUCUCUUCCUUUAGGUCCAGGCCAUCUCAGCUAGGUCCAGAGAGCCUCACUCACCUCCCCAACUAAGCAAGCAUCCCUGGAGGUAUGUUCUUCAUGCAAGGGCAGUUCCUGAGAGAAUUUAUUUGGUUAGCUCAUAAAGGGAUUAUAUUGUUUUCCCCUGCACAUGAGAGAGAGUAGCUGAAGUCUACUGACUUUAAUGAAAUUCUCUGUGAAGAGUCUGGGAGGGACGGUUUAGGUAAUCCAUCUACAAGGGUGCUCAGAGAGUUUGGAGCGAAGCGAUUGGUGUCGUUAUGAUGGCAUUCUAUGGCACAGUAGUUACAGUGCACCAGGCACUCUUUUAAAGACUUCUCAAGUGUUCAUUCAUUUAAUUCUUACCACAACCCUGUGAGGGACUUCCUGUUAUUGUCUCCGUUUUACUGGUGAGGAAGCUGAAGCAGAGAAGUUAACUACUUUGCCCAAGUUCCUUUCCUCCUUUGAGGAUAAGGAGCCAAAGGUUCAGGAAUGCCCAAAUCACAUCCCUCUUCUUGUCCAACCACCCAACCUCUCCACAGGCAACCUGAUCAGCCACCUUUAUACAAAGUACAGUAUUCAGAUUGGAAUAAAAAUAUAUCUCCUUGACUCCCUGCUCUGAGAGGUAUUUCUUCUCAGACUCCCAAAAGCUGGAUUGAGGAACAUGGCUUAGUUGGUACAGUAUAGCAAAAUGUCCUGCUUGUUGAAACUGAAUUUGUGAUUAUCUUCUUUUUCCUCAAGAAGUCAUUGAGGGCUGUUGUAUCCCUAUAAAAGGAGAAUUUAGAGUAGCCAAAUAAAAGGGGGCUGAAGUAGUCUCAUUACGGAAAAAGAGAGUGUGAGCAGCCUUUUAGUAAUUGAUUGCCUCAAGAUGUGGUAUUCAGCCAGGGUGAAGGGAAAGUAGUUGGGGCUGUGGAUCUGGAGGUUUACAGAAGCCUUUACCCAUCCUGAGACUCAGUUCUGCUGUUGGUCUUCAGAGAAGUGUCUGCACCUGCUGAGAAGAAAUCACACCACUGCACUCUAGCCUGGGCAACAGAGCGAGACUCUGUCUCAAAAAAAAAACAA
This 2318-nucleotide long non-coding RNA is filed under the name Homo sapiens (human). RNAcentral describes it as "non-protein coding lnc-H2BFWT-18:1". Lineage: Eukaryota; Metazoa; Chordata; Mammalia; Primates; Hominidae. The record is from RNAcentral.